Molecule: ribosomal RNA, 494 nt
Filed under: uncultured bacterium
Lineage: Bacteria
Description: bacterial SSU rRNA
Rfam family: Bacterial small subunit ribosomal RNA
Source: RNAcentral
AUGAACGCUAGCGACAGGCCUAACACAUGCAAGUCAGGGCAGCACAAGGAGCAAUCUGAGGUGGCGACCGGCGCACGGGUGAGUAACACGUAUGCAACCUGCCUGUAAGCGGGGAAUAACCCGUUGAAAGACGGACUAAUACCGCAUAAUACUAAAUUACUGCAUGGUAAUUUAUUUAAACAUUUAUGGCUUACAGAUGGGCAUGCGCAUGAUUAGCUAGUUGGAGAGGUAACGGCUCCCCAAGGCAACGAUCAUUAGGGGUUCUGAGAGGAAGGUCCCCCACACUGGUACUGAGACACGGACCAGACUCCUACGGGAGGCAGCAGUGAGGAAUAUUGGUCAAUGGACGAGAGUCUGAACCAGCCAAGUCGCGUGCAGGAAGAAUGUCCUUAAUGGAUUGUAAACUGCUUUUGCAGGGGAAUAAAGUGCAUCACGUGUGAUGUUUUGUAUGUACUCUGCGAAUAAGGAUCGGCUAACUCCGUGCCAGCAGCUGC